This 440-nucleotide ribosomal RNA is filed under the name uncultured bacterium. Its description in RNAcentral is "partial 16S ribosomal RNA". It matches the Rfam family "Bacterial small subunit ribosomal RNA", at positions 338 to 795 of the family's 1533-position model. The record is from RNAcentral.
CCUACUGGCGACAUCAUUGGGGCAUUUGGGACAAUGGGGGGAACCCUGAUCCAGCGACGCCGCGUGAGUUCCUCCUUCUUUCUUUCUUUCCCUCUCUCUCCUCCUUUCCUCCCAUGACGUUACCUGACUAAGAAGCCCCGGCUAACUACGUGCCAGCAGCCGCGGUAAUACGUAGGGGGCAAGCGUUAUCCGUAUUUACUGGGUGUAAAGGGAGCGGAGACGGUGCAGCAAGGCUGAUGUGAAAGGUCGGGGCCCAACCCCGGGACUGCAUUGGAAACUGUUGAACUGGAGUACAGGAGAGGUAAGCGGAAUUCCUAGUGUAGCGGUGAAAUGCGUAGAUAUUAGGAGGAACACCAGUGGCGAAGGCGGCUUACUGGACUGUAAAUGACGUUGAGGCUCGAAAGCGUGGGGAGCAAACAGGAUUAGAGAAAAAAGUAGUC